Molecule: long non-coding RNA, 860 nt
Organism: Lathyrus oleraceus (garden pea)
Lineage: Eukaryota; Viridiplantae; Streptophyta; Magnoliopsida; Fabales; Fabaceae
Exons: 2
Source: RefSeq, a predicted model, not a curated record
ACCAUUUGUCUGCAAUAUUUUGGCUUGAUGUAGGCUAGUAUUGGCUUCUGCAGGUUUACAAUAUUCACGUAUCGAUGCGGUUUUGGCCAAUGGUUGUAGGCUUGUGCUCCGUGAUUCUAUUACCAUGAGGUUGGUGCUUUUGUAAGGAUGCAUUUGUGAUAUGCAGGUUUGGAUAUUGAUUCCCAUAUCCUUGCUUGGAAAUCUAAUUUGACAGUCUUAUUAGCCUCAAAAACUGUUUCCAAUGAAUUUCCCUGGAAAGCAACCAAUCAACAGAGCAACACAGAAGCGCUUCAGCACUCCCAAUAUCAACCUUCUCAGAGUGUUUGCCCGACAAUACUUCGGGGCAACCUAUGCAGGGCUUUCAGCCAAUCCAGUCAAGUUUUGACCUUCCCAAAUUCUCAUAUUGAGUUCAAAAUCUGUAGGCUUUAACUUUCUUGAUUUUUCAGGUUUGAUAUCUCUGUGCACGACUCUUGCGAGUCUUUGUUGCUGCUGAUGCAUUGCUGGAUGUUUGUUAUGAUGUAUUUCGGCUAGUGGUUGUGGUAUGCAGGUUUUUCCAUGUGCGAUUCUGAUGAAAACCAGGUGGUUCUGCAUCAAAUUCUUCCUGCAUUGCUUGCCGGUUAUGCGCGACUAAGGACUUGUUGGCGAGGUUGCAGACCUUCACUUUUGAUGUCCAUUCGCCAUGUUCAGAACAAUUCUCACCCUAUCACAUUUGCUUGUAAUACAUAGUGCCUUAGGGUAGGUCAUUCAUCUGUGCUCAACCGUGUAUGUACUUCAUAAUUCGAGGCAUAUACGGACUGCCCAUAAUUGGAAUAACUGUAUGCCACACUUGUUGAUUUGUGAAUGUAAUUGUAAUUUUAGCA